UAGCUCAGUGGUAGAGCGCAUGCUUAGCAUGCAUGAGUUCCAGGGUUCAAUUCCUAG
This 57-nucleotide transfer RNA is filed under the name Camelus bactrianus (Bactrian camel). It matches the Rfam family "tRNA", at positions 8 to 63 of the family's 71-position model. Rfam says of the family: Transfer RNA (tRNA) molecules are approximately 80 nucleotides in length. Their secondary structure includes four short double-helical elements and three loops (D, anti-codon, and T loops). The record is from Rfam by way of RNAcentral. RNAcentral also lists the same sequence under 2 other names. Lineage: Eukaryota; Metazoa; Chordata; Mammalia; Artiodactyla; Camelidae.